CAGUAGCCGCGGUAAUACGAAGGGGGCUAGCGUUGCUCGGAAUGACUGGGCGUAAAGGGCGCGUAGGCGGCGAUCAAAGUCAGGCGUGAAAUUCCUGGGCUCAACCUGGGGGCUGCGUUUGAUACUUGAUUGCUAGAGUGGGGAAGAGGGUCGUGGAAUUCCCAGUGUAGAGGUGAAAUUCGUAGAUAUUGGGAAGAACACCGGUGGCGAAGGCGGCGACCUGGUCCUUGACUGACGCUGAGGCGCGAAAGCGUGGGGAGCAAACAGGAUUAGAUACCCCAGUAGUCCCUGUCUCUUAUAC
Molecule: ribosomal RNA, 301 nt
Filed under: uncultured bacterium
Lineage: Bacteria
Description: partial 16S ribosomal RNA
Rfam family: Bacterial small subunit ribosomal RNA
Source: RNAcentral